This 497-nucleotide ribosomal RNA is filed under the name uncultured bacterium. Its description in RNAcentral is "partial 16S ribosomal RNA". It matches the Rfam family "Bacterial small subunit ribosomal RNA", at positions 899 to 1397 of the family's 1533-position model. The record is from RNAcentral.
ACUCAAAUGAAUUGACGGGGGCCCGCACAAGCGGCGGAGCAUGUGGCUUAAUUCGAGGCAACGCGAAGAACCUUACCUGGGCUUGACAUGUACCGAAAAGCCGUAGAGAUACGGUGUCCUUCGGGGCGGUACACAGGUGGUGCAUGGUUGUCGUCAGCUCGUGUCGUGAGAUGUUGGGUUAAGUCCCGCAACGAGCGCAACCCUUGUCCUAUGUUGCCAGCGCGUAAUGGCGGGGACUCGUAGGAGACUGCCGGGGUCAACUCGGAGGAAGGUGGGGAUGACGUCAAAUCAUCAUGCCCCUUACGUCCAGGGCUGCACACAUGCUACAAUGGCCGGUACAAAGGGCUGCUAUUCCGCGAGGAUGAGCGAAUCCCAAAAAGCCGGUCUCAGUUCGGAUUGGAGUCUGCAACUCGACUCCAUGAAGUCGGAGUCGCUAGUAAUCCCGGAUCAGCAACGCCGGGGUGAAUACGUUCCCGGGCCUUGUACACACCGCCCGU